This is a long non-coding RNA of Electrophorus electricus (electric eel), 306 nucleotides long. RefSeq lists it as uncharacterized. The record is from RefSeq and is a predicted model, not a curated record. NCBI's taxonomy places the organism in Eukaryota, Metazoa, Chordata, Actinopteri, Gymnotiformes, Gymnotidae.
CGGUACCAUUGUCACAGACGACCACUUUUCUCCCUGCGCUAUCCAUGGUUCACCGGCUCAGGUGACGUGCAGUAUAGGGAAUGCCGAGGGGGCUGGUUCUAGAGUAACGCCGAGACACUCCCAGUGAGAGUCCACUAGUCCCGCAAAGAUGAGCAAGCAGACUUUAUAUGGUUUGGUUUAAUCAAAGACAAACGAAGUGUCGGAAUGACAAUGCAUGAUACUGAGAAACAAAAUGCAGAGUACGCUAGCCGUAGCUACCAGCAGACCUAAUUAUAUACAGUCUGCGGUCUACGUGAAAUGUAAAGG